UGAGGAAUAUUGGUCAAUGGGCGAGAGCCUGAACCAGCCACGUCGCGUGAAGGAAGACUGACCUUACGGUUUGUAAACUUCUUUUGUAGAGGGGUAAUGGCAGAUACGUGUAUUUGCGUGAAAGUACUCUACGAAUAAGCAUCGGCUAACUCCGUGCCAGCAGCCGCGGUAAUACGGGGGAUGCGAGCGUUAUCCGGAAUUAUUGGGUUUAAAGGGUGCGCAGGUGGCUAAUCAGGUCAGUGGUGAAAAGCUAUGGCUCAACCAUGGACUUGCCAUUGAAACCGUAUAGCUAGAGAGGAGACGAGGUAGGCGGAAUGUGUGGUGUAGCGGUGAAAUGCAUAGAUAUCAUGAAGAACUCCGAUUGCGAAGGCAGCUUACGGGAGCGCAACUGACGCUGAAGCUCGAAGGUGCGGGUAUCGAACAGG
Molecule: ribosomal RNA, 425 nt
Filed under: Verrucomicrobiota bacterium
Lineage: Bacteria; Pseudomonadati; Verrucomicrobiota
Description: Verrucomicrobia bacterium partial 16S ribosomal RNA
Rfam family: Bacterial small subunit ribosomal RNA
Source: RNAcentral